Non-coding RNA from Delphinapterus leucas (beluga whale), 7916 nucleotides. The record is from RefSeq and is a predicted model, not a curated record. Lineage: Eukaryota; Metazoa; Chordata; Mammalia; Artiodactyla; Monodontidae.
UUUAUUUUUAUCUAAUUAAGAUAUUUUUGGAUUUUUCUUGAGGCUUCUUUGACUCAUGGGUUAUUUUAAAAUGCUUUUUAAACCUCCCUAUAUUUUUGGAUUUCUCUACUAUAUUUGCCUUACAGAGUUCUAAUUUAAUUUUGUUGUAGUCUGAAAACAUUAUUUGUAUGAUUUCUAUUCUUUUAAAUGUAUUAAGGUGUGUCUUAUGGCCCAGAAUAUGGUCUACCUCGGAGAAUAUUUCAUGUGAGCUUGAGAAGCAUGUGCAUUCUGCUGCUGGAUGUAAUAUCCUACAAAUGUUCAGUAGAUCACACUGACUGAUAGUGCUGUUCAGGUCACCCUUAUUCUUUCUGAUUUUCUCCCUGCUUGUUCUAUCACAUGCUGAUAGAGACCUGUUGCAGUCUCCAGCUACAGUUAUGGAUUUGUCUAUGUCACCUUGCAGUUUUAUCAGCUUUUGCCUCGUGUAUUUUGAUAUUCUAUUAUUAGGAACAUAAACUUUUAGGAUUGUCAGUGUUUCUUGGAGAAUUGACCACUUUGUCACAUGUAAUGCCCUUUUCAUCCCUGAUGACAUUCCUUGUCCUGAAGCCUGCUUUGUCUAAAAUUAAACAGGUGCUCCAGCUUUCUUUUGAAUUGUGUUAGCAUGUCCUAUAUAUCUCCAGCUAUGGGCUUGGACCAUGGCAGACAUCGGAUUGGCCCCCAGGAGUCCUCACUGUGGCCCAGAACGCUCUGGAAGUAUACACACUCUUGGCCCACACAUGUGCAGUACAUACCCCCGCCCUGGCUUCGGUCAGUCCUGCCCCUGUGUGUCCUUUGGCCCAGAGCCUGGUCCCCACAGCUGGCUGUGCCUUUGGGGUGAGACUUCAGCGCACUGUGAUUCUGACUGAGGGUUGGGAGGCCUUGACAAUGAUUGGGGUUUGCUUGAAAGAUGGCAUGGACCAGACUGCAUACUCCCAAGUCUGGAAUAAGGGCCUCUGGCAACUGGGGCGCCCAGGUGUUUCCAUCCAAGGACUCUCCAUCCUCUCCCCAACCCCUCACCCCACCCCAGGAACUCCUGAGAUCAGGAGACAUCGGGCUCGUUCUGGAAUGAAUGCUCCUGGCAGCAUCUUGGGCAUUCUCUGCUGUCCUCUUAGCUGCUCCUGACACUGAGCACAUCCCAGCCUAUUCUCUGCCUGAGCCUCUACCUGGACCUGCACUUUACUCCCCACCCGUACACAGCCACAUUCACAAAGUGCAUCCUGAGAGCUUCGCAUGUGCCCCCUUCCCUUCCUGAGAGACUUCACAAAGAGCAAAAAAGAAAAAAAUGUACCAAGUACUCCUAGGUACUCCUCAGAGAGAUUUUCCCUCUUGAGCUCUUUUGUCUGCAGUCUGCUGUGAUUAUACUGGACCCCUACUGGUGUGAUGGCAAGUGGCGGGGGAGGAGGGUGUUCUACUACUGUAUGAUUCAGUCUCAGCCUAUGACUUUGUUAAGUUCACAGAUGUUUCCCUGGCGGAAUUGCUUCCCCUCUUGCCCUCUACCCCAACCCCUGGCUGCAGAGUUUCCAGUCUACUUCCAUGACAGCCUGGCCACUGUUGACUAUGUUAUUAUGGUUAUGAUUUUUAUUUUUCUUUCUUAGGUGAGACAGGAAGGCUGCAGGAGCUGGGACUAGGUUUGAGAACUGUGCUCUGACAAAGUCCUUUCCUCUGGAGUGUAGGUCUUUGUUACUGAGAAGGCUCUUGGCUUAUUUCACAGUGGUGAUGCUGCCCCUUCCCUGGCCAGGUCCAUGAGGGAAUCUUUCUUGAAUCCUCGUGGUGAGACUCUGGUGGCUUUCGGGGUCCCUCUUAGACUAUGGUUCCCAUGAGUUUCUCACGCUUAGCCCACAGUUAUGUUCAGCAAUUCAUCCAGCUCACCAUUUAGGUGUUCCUAUUAGUUGAUGGCCUCAGAGCUUCUGCUCCAGGUGAGGAGAUAUUGGUUGCUGUAGCUGUCUGGAUGUGUCUGUCUCUGCAGAUUUUGCAGUGGAGGUCUGCCUUGUGACCUCAGUUCUCUGAUACAUCCAAGGAAAGUCACUGAUUUUUAGUCUGUUCAGUUUUUUCUUGUUGUAAUCAUGGCCACUGCCAAGCUCUUUCUAUGUUGGCAUUAAACCUGGAAGUCCUUCCCCACAUACUUUUAGUAUAUGUAUUUUCUACUGUCUUGGUUUCUGGCCUGUUUCUUUGUCCUGAUUUUGUGAUGCUUCACUAGGGCGGCCUGACAUUGGAUUCUGACCCAUCUGACUCUCUCUGUUCCAUACUUAUUUUUGUCCCACUUUCACGGGCCACAGAUCCACGUGACAAAAUAUUUAUUGUCUUGAAAAUUGAGCACAAAUAAAAUAUAGAAUACAAUCUGAAGAUUCGUAUGAGAUCAUAUGAUCAUACUCAGUUUCCCUGACUGUUCAGAUCAACAUCAGGCCUUAUCAAAUUUUUAGUCCAAAAAGAAGCAAAAGGUAGUAAAGAGACAUACCAUCUCAAGCCACAAGAAGAAAAUAAUGUGUCAAGUCUACACAGUCAGCACAAACUAAGUCAGAGGAACUGUCAGUAACACCCAUCCAUCCCAGAAUACAGUCUGAGGCACCAGACUUCAUGACUUUUUUUGGAUGAUGCUAAAAUGGAAUAAAUGCAAGUCAAAGGAAAGUGUUUCCCUGGUUACAUGUAUUCAGUAUAAAUUUAUUUUAAGGAUUAGUUGCACAGGAGGUAAAUGAGAAUCAGAAGAAUGCAUGGGUAAGAGGAAACAAGGCACUAACAGCAUGAUCAGGGUGUAUAUAUACAUACAAAUGUUAGGCUUCAAUGGAAGAAAACACAAUGCAAAGCAAGAUAAACAAAACAGAAUGGCAACUUGAGAAAGGAGGUCCACACAUCCUGAGGGCCCGUUACACAGUGCUAGUUAUAUGCUUUCAUAAAUGUGUGAAAGAGUCACUUUAACAUGAACAAUGGACCCAAGUCAGAGUAGCCCUAUAGCUUCUUCACUCCAUAUGGCCAUAAACCAGAACAUUGCAAAGCUUUUCUAAAUAGAUCGUUGAACAAUUUCUUCUAAAACUCUAAACUCUUUCUCUUUACAUGUUAAUAGAAGCAGUGUUGAAGUUGAACAUUUCUAUUAAGUUAGACUAAGAAACAAUCCAUUACUGCCCAAGACCUGUUACCAUCACUUCCAGAUUAGGGAACAUCGUUAAUAAUAACCACCAGUUAUUAUUGUAAGAAUCCCAUGUCAUUUAAGCUUCAAGAAAAGAUGGUGUCUAGACAGGAACCAAAAAAGACAGAGAUGAUCUCUUUCACUCGAGUUCUCAGCAGUGACCUGAAUUAUUUGAGAGCUCAUAAUGUUCUGAUACAUUAAAAAUAAUGCCCCAAACUCUACAACACACAGUUAAGUAUAGCAUAUAAAUGUUAUUGUUUAAAAUGUCAAACAUCAUGAUAUAACAUCUUUUUUGGGGAAUAGUGCCUCUUGGAUAUGUAUCCAUUUUACAUCUCUAUUGAAGAGUUGAAAAGGACAAAUGUCACACGAAGGAUGGAAUAAUUACAUUUUGUUCCUGUAUGUAGUGAAUAGUUUGUACUAUAUGCAAUGUUGAUUUUACCUGAGAUAUCAAAUAUCACCCCCAGUCUAAGUUGUGCACAAUAUUAAAAGUACAGUGGACAAUCUUUCCUAUAUAAUACCUAGUCAUCCCACUUACAAUUUCUAAAUUUAUGAUGAUUCAUUUUAGUUACAUUUCUUAGCGCUCUCAAUGGUCCAUGCAAUUUAGGAUUUAGAAUGCCAGCCUCUCUCAGUAUUGAGAAAGAGGGCCAGAUGGCGGGGAAGGAGGGUGGGGUGCGGAGCUGAGCAGAACGUUCACAGUAUAUCCUUUGUGGCAUUUUUACUUUAGAUUAUUUUGCUGACAGUGAGGUGGCUGUAGUUAGACUGAGUGAAAUGGAUUAGUUCUGCUAAUGGCCUUAAUAUUUAUUGUUUUGGACAUCAAGCUCUAUCUAUUUAGGUCUCUGAAAUAGAAUUACAUUUGUUAAAAAACUAUAAACUUCAGAAACAGCAGGCUACCUAAAACAUAUGUUUUAAUGGAUAUUGGAACAAGAAAGGAACUUAUUAAGUCAAGUGACAUUGGCUGAACAGCGCGAGACUGGAUAUACCUACUUCAUGACUUGAAAUGCAUACUUUUCCUUAAAUGGUCUUCUGUGGAAAGCCACACAGCCUUUUGCCAUCAGAGUGCCCUCCUGGCACUGCUGUGUAUCAAAAGUAAUUAAAAGGAGGCCAGAACAAGAGCCAAGAGAUACCGGGUGCCCUGUACUCAUGUCUUUUCAAUGUCAAGCAUUCAGCUUUCUCUGCUCUCAGAAGAUCCUUUAUGACUCGUGUUGGGUUCCUUGACCACUGCCUUCUUCCAACCUGAUAUGGAAACUGUGACCAUCUUCGUCCGCCGGUCUAAAUCUGGAUGGAAAGCUGACCGAGUCAGUUUCAGAAGGAGCCGAAGGAUGUCUUUGGUUCAUAGCAGUCACUCCCUCACAAUGAAAAAGUCACAUGUGUAUUAAAGAACACAAUUUCUGAAGGGAGAAAAAUGCUUGCAAAGCAUAGAGGCAUCUUCAGUCAAAAACCUACAAGCUCGAGUGAGCUGGAUACACGCCUAUGACCACUCUACUUACUCCACUGGUGCUGGCUUUAUGGCCUUCCAGCAGACCGGUUCAGUAAGUUUUCAUCUUUGGUUUCUGCAGAACAUUUAUCUGCUUGUCUAUGCCGAGUAUAUUAGGUUAAUGUAAAUUCUCCUACCUGGUCAUUCAGCAAUUUUGACUUGGCUGCAAUUUUAAGUACAGUUAGAGGAGUAUGCUAGAAUAAAUCUCCAAAAAUGUAUCAUGAAAUCUUUUACACCAUUAUUCUCAUUGUGAUGAGAUUGGGUUAAGGACAUGGGAAGGAAAUUUCUCUCUGACUCUUUUUUAUGACAUUAUUUUCUGAAUGAACCGGCCCAAGGUUAUGCCUGAUCUUUGGGACCCCCCCUCAGUUACACUCACUGGUAAUGAUCACAAGCAAACAGUGUUCUGGAAACUACUUCAUGCAGGAAUCGUGUCUCCCACCAAAGAGACACAAGAGCAGACUCAUCUAAUUAGCAGAAUCCCCCCGGACCCGCUGUCUGUGCUUCUGGCACAUUAAUAAAGCUGAGACAUAUACCAGGACCCCUGAGGAUCUGUCCCCCUAAGUUCCAUGUAGAAACUUGUGGUCUGUAAGCAACAACUCGACCGAGUGAGCCACGAGAGGCUUGCUUUGAGCGUGGCACCACUGGGAGCUGUGCUCAAAUGGUCUCAGCUGGGAGUUGCUCUGGUGUGUUUCACUAGCGGCAUUUCAAAAGCAAACGCCACGUGCUAAAGUAAUUCAGAGGUGUUCAACCCUGAAGGCUGGGAUUUCAGGGAAGGCUGUAUCAUCGUCAGGAACCAGUCAUCCGCUAUUCUGCUGUGUCAGCAAAACUCACAGUGCAGAGCAUUUGAGUAAUUUUCUUUUUAUCCCUGAAAGCUUAGGAUAAUUAUUUUUCACAGCCACAUUAACUCUUAUGAUUAGCAUCUUGAGGGCAUUUUCAGACUUAUCUGAGUUGUGGAAAAUCUAGGCAGUUGAUAUAAGUGCAAAUUUAUCACGGAGGGACUGAAUACCUCUUUUACCACUAGUAACUCUCCACAAUGAAUUGUGACUCUGCAUUCAAGCUAUGGACAUGGAUGAAAAAAAAGCUUUAUCACAGAUCAGCAAAAAAGGUACCCUUUCAACAGACUAACUUUGAAAGCUUAAAAAAUUUUCGAUAUUGAAAAAAAAAUCAGGUUUCCAUCUUACAUGACCUGGGCUCGCUGUUCUUUAAAUCCACCUUCGGAGUAUUUAUGAGCUGACCAUCUUAGGCACGUGGCAUCAGAUAAUUCGGGCAGAAUGAUUUUUAUUUUUACUUGAGUAAACUCCAAAACUAAGGGCAAAAAUAUCUAUGUUGACCCAAAUUAGCCAAACUUCCCCAGUUCACGUGGAAAUCACCACGUCCCUUUAAAUCUAGUAGGUUUGUCAUUAGUCUCAGGAAUGAAAAAAACUUCUUUUUUUGGGGGGUCUAUUUUCUCUUAUAAUCCCAGCCAACCCAUAUCCAGUAAAAGGAAAGUAAAGCCCAGCCAAUCCUGGUUACACAGUAAAUUACAAGCCCCUGAUGGCUCUCUGGGAACAGCAUCUGUGACACAUAAAUGAUACCUACAGUCCUGUCCCUAUUGUUGGUCUCCUGACUGCAAAAUGUCUGAUUUCAUUUAAAGUGUACUUUUAUCUCUUUCUUAAACAGAUUGUCAUUUAGAGUCCUUCUUUUCCUUGAGGUUAAAUGAAAGCCAAUCGAGGAUCACACCCAAUCUUCCCCACGUAGCUCAGAGGGGGCCAAAGGGAGAAACAUCGUCACCAACAAGGGAUUACUGAACAGAAAGACAGUGCAGUGACGUGACGUGCAGGACAGCCAGACUGGUUCUUUCGUUUCCAAAGUGGUCCCCCUUUUCCCAUCGUCACCUAUGUUUCUCACAGGAGCAGACAUGACUACAUAAAUACUUUGCUAAUAAGAAGCCUUUUUUUUUUUACAGCACUAUUUUAAAAAUAGCUAUUCAACAUAACAACCUUAAUUUUAAUGCACCAAAUAACAGUUUUCAACAAUUUAAGUGAGCAUAUGCUGUCACGCUCAGCACACAUUGAUAUAUACUUGUUAGAUAUAGAUGGAUGCAGCAAUAUCCAUAUCCAUAUUUGUCUACAGACACACACACAACACACACACACAGAGCACACACACAGAAUAGAGCUACAAGGCCCUGCUUAAGAGUGUGUUCUAAAUUUCGUGGGCGUGUUCCCUUGUCACUGGGCUUAUUUAUAUGGAAAGUUGUGAUGCCAUUUGUAGAGCUUACUGGAUUUGUCCCUGUCGAAACCCUCCAAGCCACAGAACUUGUGGUGGGUCACCUUUCUGUCUAAGGACAGACCUCUCCUCAGGUGGGAGGACUGAGCCAGGAGGACAGGGGCAAUGCCUUCACCCAGGUAUAGUCCAGCGUGGGCGACUUCUCACCCUGCCCAGGCUUCUGCUACCGUCAGACUCAAAGGAUUUUGUUUAAAUGACUGUUCAGAAGAUUUGGAUUCUAUUUUUGUAAAACAUAGACUCCCUCGCAAGAAACUCAAUAAAUAAAGGACUUAGCCACAGAAUCAAGGAAGCAGAACUCCAGUUUUUAACCUUCCACUGGGAGCGGGGAUAGACCCGACCCAUUUCAAUGUUCCCUGCAAUUGGUCCUCCGCGAGGCAGAGGGCGUGAUGGCCCCCAGGCAGGUCCGGACAGACUGUCUCUCUGGUCUCAGCAUCUCUCUGGGUGUCAUUGGAUGAGGCUGGAGCUGUAGCUGAAGCCGUAGCUGCUGGACCGGGACAAGGACGGCUGUGUCUCUUCGGUCUGCUCCGAGGCGUAGCUGGGAAAUGUCUGUGCGCGUGACAUCUUUGAGGACCCGAACCCGUGACCUGGAGAGAGAAAAAGGAAGGAGAGCUGUACCAAGAAACUGACUCCGAAAAGUGCGAGGUUUGUUGCCGAAUCGCCAGAAGCAGGGUCGGGCCUUAUGGACAACGUGGGAUGUAUUGGCUGCUGUGGACCCACAGUGACUGAUUCACCUGACAACAUGUAGAUGAAAUCCUGGGAAGAUGGGAGCAUGAACACGUGCAAGCUCCUUUUUACCACUGGUGCAGAUUUCUCUGUGUGUGUGUGUUACUUGCUACAGGAGGCUUUUAUUAACUUUGCGAUUUGGAAAACAUCAUAUCAUGAAAAUUUAAACAGAAGAUCUCAAUGGAAGCAAUCUAAAAACCAUGCGAUCUUGAAAUUAAACAGGCAGUAAAGGACAGAGGGUCAGAGCUGAGCAAAGAGUGAGUAAAUCCUUUGAUUUACCUCCUUCAUCUCCGCCAGAACUCUAUUUACCGUUUU